Hevea brasiliensis (rubber tree) is the source of this 297-nucleotide long non-coding RNA. RefSeq lists it as uncharacterized. The record is from RefSeq and is a predicted model, not a curated record. The transcript is spliced from 2 exons. Lineage: Eukaryota; Viridiplantae; Streptophyta; Magnoliopsida; Malpighiales; Euphorbiaceae.
CGGCCACCGUGCGCGGUGGUUCCGGCGGUAGCUCCGGUGGGCUAUGGAGAUGAUUCAACUUCCAGAGGCUUCCUCAUAAAUUUUUGGAAUUUUUGAGACACAGAUAAACUUCGGGUGAUCGAGAUCAGCUAUUUUUCUGCAUUCAGCAGCCACAAUAGUCAUCGGUGUACUGUGAGUAAAAUAUUAAUUUUAAUUGUAAUUUCGAUAUUAUUAUAUAUUCAAGCAUGCCCAUGCAUCACUUAUAUGUAUAUAUUUAUGUAGUUAAACUCUAGGCACGUUUUAUGUUGCAUUCACAAC